Molecule: ribosomal RNA, 450 nt
Filed under: uncultured bacterium
Lineage: Bacteria
Description: partial 16S ribosomal RNA
Rfam family: Bacterial small subunit ribosomal RNA
Source: RNAcentral
GUGGGGAAUUUUGGACAAUGGGCGCAAGCCUGAUCCAGCAAUGCCGCGUGCAGGAAGAAGGCCUUCGGGUUGUAAACUGCUUUUGUACGGAACGAAACGGUCCGGGUUAAUACCCUGGGCUAAUGACGGUACCGUAAGAAUAAGCACCGGCUAACUACGUGCCAGCAGCCGCGGUAAUACGUAGGGUGCAAGCGUUAAUCGGAAUUACUGGGCGUAAAGCGUGCGCAGGCGGUUUUGUAAGACAGUGGUGAAAUCCCCGGGCUCAACCUGGGAACUGCCAUUGUGACUGUAAGGCUAGAGUGCGGCAGAGGGGGAUGGAAUUCCGCGUGUAGCAGUGAAAUGCGUAGAUAUGCGGAGGAACACCGAUGGCGAAGGCAAUCCCCUGGGCCUGCACUGACGCUCAUGCACGAAAGCGUGGGGAGCAAACAGGAUUAGAAACCCCAGUAGUCC